UGGUAAUUACUUAUUUUGUAGCCACUUUGAGUUACGAUAAUUAUUACGUUAAUUUACGAGAUUAUAGUAACUCCAUACUAAAUGGUUUACUAUAACGUUAUGGUAAAUAUCUCCAUGUGUUUCAGUAACCCAACUAUUGUAAAUAUGUAUUGAUAUUAUCGUAAAUUAGUACAUAAAAUUAUCUUAAAUGGAGGUGGCUACAGAAUAACUUAUUUUAUAGCUG
This 223-nucleotide microRNA precursor is filed under the name Sorghum bicolor (sorghum). Its description in RNAcentral is "MIR6217 microRNA precursor family". It matches the Rfam family "MIR6217 microRNA precursor family". Lineage: Eukaryota; Viridiplantae; Streptophyta; Magnoliopsida; Poales; Poaceae. The record is from Rfam by way of RNAcentral.